Molecule: long non-coding RNA, 4653 nt
Filed under: Homo sapiens (human)
Lineage: Eukaryota; Metazoa; Chordata; Mammalia; Primates; Hominidae
Description: HSALNT0088084
Source: RNAcentral
GCAGUAUAAUAUAGAACAGAUUUGUUUAUUUCAAUUGCUGUUUAGGAGAUUGAGAAAGGUUUCCCUAUCAGCUCCAGGAACAUACUAAAUACCUGCUGUAGUGAGUUGAAUUGUGGCCUCCAAAAAGAUAUGUCCAAGCCGUCAACCCCAGUACCUCUGACUGUGACCUUAUGUAGCAAAUGGGCCUUUGCAGAUGUAAUUAAGGAAUGAUCUUGGGAUGAGAUCAUCUGGAUUUAGGAUAGGCUUAAAUCCAACGACAGCAGUCCUUAAAAGAGAAUGGCAGUGGGAGAUCUGAGACACAGACAUAAGGAGGGGGAAGACCAGGUGAAGACACGGGCAGGGACUGGAGUGAUUCAGCUGUAAGCCAACGAACGCCACGGGUUGCCAGCAGCCACCUGAAGCCAGGAGGGCGUGGAAUCGGUUUUCCCUCUGAGCCUCCAGAAGGAACUGAUUCUGCCAGCACCUUGAUUUCAGGCUUCUGGCCUCCAAAACUGUGAGAGAAUUAAUUUUUGUUGUAUUUUAGGUCACCCAGUUUGUGGCUAUUUGUUAGACUAGCCCCAGUAAACCCUCUUCAGCUCCUUCUUCCAGUCUUUAGAGUCAUAUGGACUUUAACCCAAUUUAAAGCUGUAUACACGCCAUGCCAGACAUUUCAUUUUAAUUGUUUUAUUUUUGUAGAAAUGGGGUCUUGCUCUGUUGUCCAGACCGGAGUGCAGUGAUGUGAUAAUAGCUCACUGCAGCCUUGAACUCCAGGUCCAAGUGAUCCUCCUGCCUCAGCCUCUCCAAAUCUUUUAAUUUGUGUGUGUGUGUGUGUGUGUAUGACAGAAAGAGAAAGGGCAUUCUAAUUCGAAAGUGAUUGAAAAUUAUUCUCCUGGAUAACCAUCAUUAGUGAAUGAAGAAUUGGAUUAUCUUGACACAUCUCACUGUGAAAGCAGAAGGGCAUCUGGAAGGCAGAAGAAGUCAAGAAGACAGUGGAGUGAGUUCAAAUUCUGAUUGCAAAGCAACAAUUUUCAUACCUUCUCUUCUCUAGGCCACUGCACCAAGGAGCACACAUGGAGCACAGAAUAGCCUUUAAAAAUAAUAAGGUGAAAUGGAUGAGGUGAGAAAGGCCCGGACCACACCGAGAAUCGAAUGCAUGGUAAACAUAGGGCCACGGGGAAGUCUUGACACCGCUCGGCAAGAUCUCUCACCGAUGGAUCCACCCUCUAUGUUUUCUGAUUGGACACAUUUCCUGAGAUGGGAAGGAUCAUGCUAUUGGCUGAGGCUGCAUCAGGGGAGUAAUAUUUACUCUGGAAAAUCUGGGAGAGGGUGUCCCAGUCUGUGAACUACCCAGACCCCCACGUUCACAGAAUACUAGGAUGAGGAGGAUCCCAAGGAACACCUGCAUCAACUCUCAUGUUCUACAAGGGAAGAAGCCAGGUCUCAGGGACAUUAAAUCACUUUCCCAAAUGUACCAAGCUAGUUAGAGUGAAGAAAGAUCCUAUUUAUCCCAGUUCCCAGUGAAAUGCCAUUUCUGCUCCAUACCUUCUCUUCUCCAUGUGUCCUAUGCUCUCGCACUUUUUGUGCUGCUUAGCGUUUUGCCCAGAGGUGUGCCAGAGAUUAUUGCUCAUUCUUUCUCCUUCCACGGUCACAACACCUCCCUGGGCUGGUGUCACCUCUUACUUUGCAAUUCAAAACGUUGAAGAAGGUGCGACCUGUCUAGAUUUUCGUGUAGCCUUCUCUCCUGAUUGCUGUUUCAGAUAACACAUUCAGGGUGUUGGUAAAUAGCUGUGAAUCAGAGCCUCGGGGACAGCCUGGUUUGGUGUGUGGAUAGUCUGGCUAAUGUCAUAGCAGUCCCUGCCUUAAAUAUCAAUGUCCGAGGAAGGUGGGAUGCUGUUUCCAAAAGAUUGAUUUGCACUUCUGCUAAUAUAUGGCUGAGUGUUCUUUAAAAUGGAGUAUUCUGCUUGCCCUCUGCCACCUUCACAACACCCUAAAUCUUUGGAAGAACGUGCUUCUUGUUGGACCUACAAGUGGGGAGCAUCUUGCCUUGUCCGGCCUGUCCCAGUUUCUCGGGAACCCUUGAGGUUUCUGUCCCUGUUCCACAUACUUAGCCCCAUCUCCAGGCUUCCUGUCCAUCAGCCUGAGAGACCAUACUCUAGGAGUCUUAAGUGCUGAGUUCCCUAGUGGGAACUCACUGGACUGCAACGCCCCAAGUCCCUCCUUCUCUCUCUGUGCCUUGGGAUGGGCUUUGUGCCAGCUGUGCCCAUCCUGCUGUUCUGCAGCUUGGUGCCCCUUCCUAACGUGAUGGGCCUCUGCUAAGGUCAUGUUCUUUCACCAACCCAGGGUCCUUCCAGCUCCUCCACCAAAACAGUGCCCUGGUUGUCCUCACUUGUCCCAUCUUCAGCAGGGAGGCACUUGAUUCUGUGGCAUUUGGCACUGCUCACUGGGCUUUCUUUUCUUUUCACUGUAAGACUCAUGCAUUAGAUCUGUCUUGCUAUAGUCCUAACAAUGUCUCUGUGUCCCCACUCCCAUUCAACUCUUGCCAUUCUCCAGCCAUUGCUCUUGAAGAAUGUGGGACUAAUAACCCUGGGUAGGGUCACAAGGCCCUGCAGAGGUGAUGCCAUGAAGUUGCCUACACAGAACUGCCUCCCUGCUAAGAGUUCCAGGAUCAAAUUCUUCUAGGUGCCUGCUUGGGUGGGUCCUCAUCCCCACCCCUGCCCAGGGCACCAUCUGUGGGAGAUUAGGAGGUAAUCACUGUCUACCCCUCAGACACCACGUGCUGCAUGACUGUGUCCUGAGGCAGCCACAUGGCUGCCAGCUCUGAAGGUCCUGAGAUCCCCAUUCUGAGGCCCUUCGCUGACUCACUGCUCUCAUUCUUCUUUCUCUGUCCACUCUCAGGGCAACUACAUCCACACGGUGAAGGCAGGGCCUGUGUAGUGGAUGCCAGGCUGUCUUCACGUACAUUUCUCUUUCUCUUAAGCAUCCUGGACCAUAAAGCCCUAGUGUGCUGCUCCUACCUUGCCAGUAGGACUCCUGUCUCAGCUCCGUCUCCUGAAGACUGACCCUACAGGAGAGAUACAAGCAUCUCCUGUUACCUGUGCCCAGAUGGUCCUUAAAAAAUCAUUUUCCUAUUUGAUAAACAUAAAAAUGUUAUGUCUGACCAGCCAACAGGCUCUAGACCUGAGCCAUCUAGGAAGAUGAGGCCCCACCCCUAACUGGUGCCCUCUUUGCAGAUUCACUGAUGCAGAUUCUUGUCAGCAGAGAUAACUUGUCAAAUUUUACUUUCAUCAAGAGAAAUAUAAUUAGAGUGAUGUACUUUUCAUUUCUAAAUUAUGAAAUUCUAUUAUAAUGUGAAAUAUGUAUUUUCAAAGUAUACAUACAUUUCCUUUUAGAAAUGUUGAUAUACCUCCCUAGGAACUUUCCUUCCUUUUGUUAGAAAAUCAAUGCUGUAAAAUGUUAGGGAACAAAAGAAAGGUAUGGAGGAAGAUCAACCUUGUGGGACCCAGGAAGAAGCAGGGAAGAAGAAUCCCACUAUGAAACUACCUUUCCAGGACAAAUAAUGUUCUCAGAAAUGGGCAUGUACUUUGUCUCCAGGCAGAUAGCCUGCCCAUUACAUUUUUGUUUUGUUUUGUUUUGUUUUGUUUUGUUUGAGACGGAGUCUCACUCUGUCACCUAGGCUGGAGUACAGUGGCACGAUCUCGGCUCACUGCAGCCUCCACCUCCUGGGUUCAAGCGAUUCUCCUGCCUCAGCCUCCUGAGUAGCUGGGACUACAGGUGCCUGCCACCAUGCCCAGCUAAUUGUUGUAUAUAUUUUUUAGUAGAGAUGUGGUUUCACCAUGUUGGCCAGGCUGGUCUCGAACUCUUGACUUCAAGUGAUAUGCCUACCUCGACCUCCCAUUACGUUUUAAAUAGCACAGCUCUCUGCUACGUUGUAUAUUUCCCAAAUAAAAAGUUUUCAGCUCAAUCUCUAGAAAAGCUCUGCUUUAUCAACUUUCUGUUUCUCAUGCCAUGAGUUGACUAUGACUCUCUCACGCACCUGCCAAUCAGUUUUAUCACUUGCCAUUAGGAGGUCCUUGGGAAGCAAUGGGAAAGCUCCCCAGUCCAGAGAAACUAACUUCAGGCAUGUGUCUGAACUCAGAGGCUCCAACCAAGAGCAGGGAAGGGCCUUGUGGGAGGUGAGUGCAUUUUGGAUAUGGGGAGCAAGGCUGGUGGGAUUCUGCUAACGAAACUGAUCACAGGUGACAGGGCUCUCCUUUGAACUUGAUUAUUUUUAAAGUUCACCUCUCCCUGAUCCAUAACGAGGUCUGGUGAGACUUGUCAUAGUCCCAGAAUUAUUUCGAUCAUUCCAGCUCAGCCGAAACAAUGAGAGAACAUCAAUAUGGCAACUCCUCAGAUGUCUGGGAAGAGGGAUCAUCACCCAGGCCUGGGAGCUCUGCGCAGUUUUGUCUGCCUUGGCUCCAAAGUGCUCUUUGCCCUUAACACUGCACCACUGUACAGAUUCACACAGCUGGCACUAGCUCCACAGUGGCUAAGGUUGUGCUGCUUAGGACUGACCUGGAGGAGAGGGGAGAAAAAGAUGGUAUUAGUGGCUCCCUUUCAUGUCAACAGGUUCACUGAAAAAGGAGCAAAGGGCUUAGUCAUGUUUUAAUGCUCUCAAAGCUUACUAUGUAUCCAGGA